UACGUAGGGGGCAAGCGUUGUCCGGUUUUAUUGGGCGUAAAGAGCGUGUAGGCGGCCAGGUAGGUCUGCUGUGAAGACUCGAGGCUUAACCUCGAGCUGUCGGCGGAAACCAUCUGGCUAGAGUCCGGAAGAGGAGAAUGGAAUUCCCGGUGUAGCGGUGAAAUGCGUAGAGAUCCGGAAGAACACCGGUGGCGAAGGCGGUCUGCUGGGCAGUUGCUGACACUGAGGCGCGACAGCGUGGGGAGCAAACAGG
RNAcentral lists this ribosomal RNA (253 nucleotides) under uncultured bacterium. Its description in RNAcentral is "partial 16S ribosomal RNA". It matches the Rfam family "Bacterial small subunit ribosomal RNA", at positions 524 to 776 of the family's 1533-position model. The record is from RNAcentral.